This is a small nucleolar RNA of Ornithorhynchus anatinus (platypus), 137 nucleotides long. The record is from RefSeq and is a predicted model, not a curated record. NCBI's taxonomy places the organism in Eukaryota, Metazoa, Chordata, Mammalia, Monotremata, Ornithorhynchidae.
CCCCUCUCAGGCUCACACCUGGAGAGUUUCAGUACUCUACCAGUUUCAACUAAGGGAGGGAGAGUCAAGCAGAGGCCUACACAUUCCAUUUCUAGUUCAGGCAGGGGCUAGCAAGUGGAAGGCAAUCUGCUACAAGU